Long non-coding RNA from Homo sapiens (human), 881 nucleotides. RefSeq lists it as uncharacterized. The transcript is spliced from 2 exons. Lineage: Eukaryota; Metazoa; Chordata; Mammalia; Primates; Hominidae. The record is from RefSeq and is a predicted model, not a curated record.
CCCUGAGAUAAAACAGCCCAGCCCUGCUCAACCCACAGAAAACAGUUGAGAGCCCUGCAGAAACCUGGCUGUUGAGCGGCACUGCAAAUGAGCUUCCCAUAUGAAGUAAGCAUGUCCCACAAGUGGGGACCUGGCCAUGGGACUCUGGUUUGCCAUUAUUAGGACAAAUAGGAUCUUAGCGUGACCAGAGCAGACACUGUUCAAGCACGUCAAAACAUUAAAAAAAAAAAUUAUCCCCACAAAUGACUUAUUAAUGACAGAGAAGAAAAUGUACCUGCAAUGGGGCGAUCUGGCAGACACUUCCCAAUCAAGUCAUCAAAUUCAGCAGCCUCCAAAGUGGGGCCACCAGACAUGAUGUCCUCGGCUCCUGAAGGGAGGCACUGGAAGACACAGCAUCACUUGAGCCAUGUGCUCCCCCAACAUGCUUCACCUGAAUCUGCUCCUCAAGAGACAACCAGACAAGAAAUCCAGAAAGAGAAACUCCACAACACAACAGUCUUGGACUCUACAAAACAUUCAUUGUCACUAAUUGACUUUCUAAACGAUAAGAUGAAAGAGAAAUAACAGCCGGGUGCAGUGGCUCACACCUGUAAUCCCAGCACUUUGGGAGGCCGAGGCGGGUGGAUCACCUGAGGUCAGGGGUUCGAGACCAGCCUGGCCAACAUGGUGAAACCCAGUCUCUACUAAAAACACAAAAUUGGACGGGCGUGGUGGCACACACCUGUAAUCCCAGCUACUCGGGAGGCUGGGGUAGGAGAAUUGCUUGAACCCAGGAAGCAGAGGUUGCAGUGAGCCGAGAUCAUACCGUUGCACUCCAGCCUGGGCGACAGGAGCGAAACUCCAUCUCAAAAAAAAUUAAAGAGAGAGAAAUAACAACUAAA